This 425-nucleotide ribosomal RNA is filed under the name uncultured rumen bacterium. Its description in RNAcentral is "bacterial SSU rRNA". It matches the Rfam family "Bacterial small subunit ribosomal RNA", at positions 354 to 776 of the family's 1533-position model. The record is from RNAcentral.
GUGAGGAAUAUUGGACAAUGGCCGGAAGGCUGAUCCAGCCAUGCCGCGUGCGGGAAGACGGCCCUAUGGGUUGUAAACCGCUUUUGCGAGGGAGCAAUAAGGGCAACGUGUUGUCCGAUGAGAGUACCUCGCGAAUAAGCAUCGGCUAACUCCGUGCCAGCAGCCGCGGUAAUACGGAGGAUGCAAGCGUUAUCCGGAUUUAUUGGGUUUAAAGGGUGCGCAGGCGGCUUGUUAAGCGGGAGGUGAAAUGCCGGCGCUCAACGUCGGAAGUGCCUCCCGAACUGGUGAGCUUGAAUGACUCUGCCGUGGGAGGAAUGUGUAGUGUAGCGGUGAAAUGCUUAGAGAUUACACAGAACACCGAUUGCGAAGGCAUCUCACGAAGGGUUGAUUGACGCUGAGGCACGAAAGCGUGGGGAUCAAACAGG